Molecule: long non-coding RNA, 925 nt
Filed under: Olea europaea (common olive)
Lineage: Eukaryota; Viridiplantae; Streptophyta; Magnoliopsida; Lamiales; Oleaceae
Description: long non-coding RNA (OEUR_LNC013063)
Source: RNAcentral
UUGUGUCUCCUCCAUAGAUGGAAAACUCUGCCACGAAAUCAAGAACCUUGUUUCUUUCCAUUUACCAUUUCUCUAAUGGUUCUAAUUCGAUUAGUUUUAUUUGAACAGCUCGUGAAGUUCAAAUUGAAGAUGAUAGUUGUUUGUAUAUCAACCAAGGACUGGCAUUCAGAUUAACCAGUGUUUUUAUGCAUAUUCACAUCAAAAAUUGUGUGAACUUGAUAAUAUAGAUUUAUGAGCCCUGACAAAAUUUUGGAUGUUUCAUGCUGGCCACCGGGGAAGGAAUGCUGUAGAAAAGGUAUGGGAUUUUCUUAGUAUAUUCAGCUAACGUAUCAUACGAUUGCAGAGUUCAGGCUUCCGUUUUCUAAUAGCUAUUUAUGAUCACCAUCCUUCCCUCUAACCAAAGAUGGAUAAGAGGGCAGACGGAAGAAUUAGAAAAAACAACUUAUAAACUUUGGCAUAUGGGUAACGAGAACAGAAAUGUAGUAGGAAUAUUAUUGUUGGUUUGAAGGACGAGUUGGUAGAAGUUAAAUGGGUUGUAGAUACGAUUAUAUUAAUGCUUGGAGAAGAGUUGUUUACAUUAGUUAGUAUAAACACUCCAGAAAAAAAAUAUAUAGAUAGAUUAAUUUAGGCAAUUGGUGAUCAAAAUGAGAUCCCUGUUGGAAGAAAUUAAAUGGUUAUGUAGGAAACUGGAACCUAGGAUAUUGAAGAGUACAUGAAAAAUUUGUCUUUGGAUAUGAAGAAGGUAAACUAUGUUGGAAUUGGGAUGACUUACGGCUUGGUCUUAGCAAUUACGUGUCUCAUUAGUGGUACCAUUCCAUUGCCCUUGUCUACUUGAAAUGAAAGUUGGAGCAUGUUCAUGCUGCAGGAGUGGAAGAAAGUUGGGUGCAUUGUUCUCAGAUUGUAACGUUGUUUUUGUUUAGAGCCC